RNAcentral lists this ribosomal RNA (497 nucleotides) under uncultured bacterium. RNAcentral's name for it is "partial 16S ribosomal RNA". It matches the Rfam family "Bacterial small subunit ribosomal RNA", at positions 28 to 507 of the family's 1533-position model. The record is from RNAcentral.
GAUGAACGCUGGCGGCGUGCCUAAUACAUGCAAGUCGAGCGAACAGACGAGGAGCUUGCUCCUCUGACGUUAGCGGCGGACGGGUGAGUAACACGUGGAUAACCUACCUAUAAGACUGGGAUAACUUCGGGACACCGGCGCUAAUACCGUAUAAUAUAUUGAACCGCAUGGUUCAAUAGUGAAAUACGGUUUUUCUGUCACUUCUAGAUGGAUCCGCGCCGCAUUAUCUAGUUGGUAAGGUAACGGCUUACCAAGGCAACGAUGCGUAGCCGACCUGAGAGGGUGAUCGGCCACACUGGAACUGAGACACGGUCCAGACUCCUACGGGAGGCAGCAGUAGGGAAUCUUCCGCAAUGGGCGAAAGCCUGACGGGGCAACGCCGCGUGAGUGAUGAAGGUCUUCGGAUCGUAAAACUCUGUUACUAGGGAAGAACAAAUGUGUAAGUAACUAUGCACGUCGUGACGGUACCUAAUCAGAAAGCCACGGCUAACUACGUG